Molecule: long non-coding RNA, 1140 nt
Filed under: Cercocebus atys (sooty mangabey)
Lineage: Eukaryota; Metazoa; Chordata; Mammalia; Primates; Cercopithecidae
Description: lncRNA (ENSCATG00000045614.1)
Source: RNAcentral
CUCAGCCUGGCUACGGCCCAGAUGCCCACCCUGAACCUUCCACGAGCCAGGGCAGGCACCAUUUCCCCAGGACCAGCUGAGCAGUAAAGUCUCUUCUGGUUUAUCUGGAGGAAGGAAAAUGACGUCAUGAGGUAAACCGCACAGCCUGAAACCACGAGGCUGGGCGCCCCAGUGAUGUUUGCUUUUCAGCAAAAGUCACCAUGUGCACAGAGGGGCAGGCAGCCUGGGCCAUUGUGGUCAGAGGGUCGGGGGGGAAGACAGAGGGAGAUUUUUAACACGGAACCACAAGGAAGGAGAGGCCCUGGAGAGAUGGACGUCAGAGGCCAGAGGGCGGCUUCCUGGGGUGCUGUGGGAGACUUGUCACCUGCUGGGCGGGGUGGUCUCUGCUGGCAUCUCACAAGGUCUCGGGCUUGGCACCUGAGGCACGCAAAGUCACAUUUGCUAUAGCGGGCAUAAUAAUAGUGGCAAGAAUAAUAUCGAUAACGCAUCCUGACCACGUGUCUCUGUAGCCUUGUCGCCUCCUCAACACCAUCCCAUAAGAUGGGACCCUGUGAGGCAGACGCAGCCUGCACACAGAGGAGGGUGGGGAGGCUGGGGCUCCGGCCUGUGCUUUCGCCUCCAGACCAUGGAGCUUCUUCGCCCACGUGCUGGGUACCGUCCAGCCUGAGGCCUGUAUGCAGGGUCCCUGUUUCAAGCCCUGAUUCCUGCCUGCUACCUUCCACCCAGGAAGCCCCCUCCCCUCUGCAGCCCUCAGUUUCUUCACCUGUCAAACGCCCUGCCUUUGAGGAACCCUCUCACAGGACAGCUGGACGCAGCCAGGCGGGAAGAACUCUUCACCAGCCCCGUCUCCAUCGCCCGGCUGCCAUCACUGCCGGCAUCGACACUGACCCUCCAGCUCCAGCACCAGACCCUGGGGAAACCUGCAGUCCCAGAGAGCCUGACAGCCCCCAGAGCAAAACCUUCAGCUGUCCCAGGAGAAGGACACUCGGGGAGCCAGCCGGAGCUGGCUGCUUUCAGCACCAGGGGACAACUCUAGGAAAAAGCCGAGCCACGGAGUCAAGGAGGGCCUUCCCUACCGCUGCAGACAGCAAGCCCCUUCCAGACGCUUCCCCGCAGCUACAGCAGCAAGCGCCCCUGUGA